GAGGAAUCUCUUGCCAAAGCUGACUGGUGUAUCUCAGGGUUGUAAAUAGAGUGUGCCUCUUUCUAGUCUCAUAUACACAGAUGGCAGAGGAGGCUAUAAGUGCCAGUCAUUAUUAACCAAUGAUGCACAUUCAUUAGUUUACCUCUGGAGUUUGUAAUUUGGAUUCAAGUCUUGCACAAAGACACUUCAGCAACUGACUGUAAGACCUGGGGUUGAACUGCCAACUCUCUGAUUUAGAGACAUCAGUUUAACCACGGAGCUACAGCUGCCCCUCGAUUUUGUGUGAGCCAUCAGGUAAUUACUUGGAAUCAUUACAUCAAACCCAGUCACAUUUUGGCAAGCAAACCAACCCUCCUCUGUCCACCAAGAGAUGAAGAAAUUGUGCGUCUACAUUUAACACAGGAUGACUUAUUAAAGCAAUUCUUUUAAAUGGGGACAUUAAUGUAUGUCUGACCUCAGUGUGUGGUAACCUGCCAGCUGAAAGAGCAGCACCGGUUUCUUGAAGUGGAAAGACUGUAGACUUAAUAUGAAGUCCAAAAUAAGAGAUAUUGUUAAUUUUAUUUUUUCUGUCUUCUGUGUCAACAAUUCUAUCACAAUCCAUCUUUAUCCUCUCUUUUUUGUGUAUCUCUCCUGAUCCAAUCCACUUCCACCUCUUUCCCGCAGUCACUCUCUCCACCUCCACUCCUCUUUCUCGCUUGCUUUCUCCCUGUCUCAUGAGUCACUGUGACAGGCUGUCAGUCCACCUCUCUGCCCCGUGUUUACAUUGGGCAGCAGAGCAGCGCCAGGCUGGUUGCACUUCAGGAAUGUAACCCCCAAGGUCCCUGCCCUCCUCCUCCUCCUCCUCCAUCUCCUCCUCUUUUACCCUCUAUCCUCUCUUUUCAUGCCCAUCUUCAAAUCUUUUAUACCAUUACCGGCGUUAAUACCACCCCUUUUUAUUACUUCCCUUCUGUUACCUUAUUUAUCGCUUUUAUUUUUUCCCUCCUUUCCCCUUCCUUCCGCUCAUCCUGACACCUUUUCCUCCUUUUCUCUUGUCCUUUCCCCCAUCUUCUCCCUCCCCUUAAAAUGUAGAAAGCUUUGUCCAACUCACUCGCACCCCCUCAACUCUCCUGUCAUCAUCACCCCAACCUCCCACUUUUCCCCAUCUCUCUCCAUCCGCCCUCCCUCAUUCCUCUGCUGCCUAACCCAAACAAACCAGGGAGGACUUUCCUCUGUGGUGGCUGCAGGAGAAACACACCACAUGUCUGACUUGGUUUAAAGAUAAACAUUAGUCAAUUUGAGGGACUGGAAAAGGAUAUGAGGCGCUUAACUUCAAUAUGAGAUAGAGCUACUAUCUGGAAAUCUUAAUGCUCAAUCUUACCACUGAAUAUACAGAAAUCAGAGUCAGAGCGAUGUACUUUGGAUUAAUAUUUAAAAAUAGAUGUUUGCAUUGAUAGAGCAAACUGUCUUCUAUUUAUUGUGACUGAGUUUUAUUUCACAAUUUCAUUACAAAACAGACUUCAGCAUUUCUUGGACAAAUCAGGCCUCCGGGCAAAUAAAGCAGGUCUUAUAAUUAUGAGGCAACCUUGCAGACCAUUCAGUUUUUCCAGUGACUCAGCAGAGUGUGUAAUCUCCUCUCAAAUGGGGAACCUUUUCAGUCAGAACACGGUCCUGUGGCAUUUCAGCGAGAAGCGUGUGACCCCUGCCACACUGUUUUUAAUCAGAUUAAACUAGUUAUGAAAGUCAACUAGAUUAGAGUUAGUGCAGGGGAGCUGGAGCACAAGGCAACGAUUCACAGUAGAAAGGAGAGGUGAUCAGCAUGAGGGAGAUCAGGCUGUUAGUGUUCUUAAAAUAACAGCGGGCAGUUCUCGGAUUCUGGAUAAGUCACUCUUAUUUUGCUCUGGCGUACAUAUUCUCAUUCAUGUAUGCAAAUUUGUUACUAAAGGGUAUACAUAAUACAUUUAUGUAUACAAACCAUGUGCAAUUUUAGAUUAGAAUUUUAGGCUAUGGACAUUGUGCAAUUCAAUUCAAUCUUGUACCGCGUCACUUAAAGAAGCUGUCCUGUAGCAAAUGGCACUUUAAAUACCUUUAGCACAUGACACUCUGAUUAGCACUUUAGCUUUAGCUUUAACUUUACAAUUCUCCUUUAAUCUUUUUGGUCCCCUUACUAUUGGCCACUUAGUUUUUGGUCUGUGUACGUUGUUUAUGUAUAUUAUGUGUAUGUUGUCAGUGCAUUGUUCUACUGUCUUAGUCAUGUUGUUUGUACUUUUAACAUUAUUGCUUUUAAGUUUAAAAUCAACCUGCCAAUGGGACUGGGGAUAGAAAUUAGCCAUCUGGCUUUAAUCCCACAUAUUUACACGUAAAUGUUCAUCAAUAUGUACUGUCCCCAGUUUUAAAAAUAAACAAAUAGAAAAAAUGUGUAUGCACGUGAUUGUGUGAGCUUUGCACUACAAUUACGUCAAAGAAGAAAAAUGCAGAGCAAUCAAAAUGACCAAAACAUUUUGUUUUUUUAAAAAAAGAGUCCUAAAAUUCCAUUAAUUUCUAAUGGUUUUUACAUGAUUCCGUCCUUUGCCAAAGAUGUUGACGUUUUGCUUUAGUCUUUGAAUGACCAACACUAAACGGAGGACAGAUUAUAGAACAUCACCUAUUUGUUUACACAAUUCCUUUAUGUGCUAACUGAAUAUUUAGUUACGUUAGUUUUAGUGUAUUUAUUAUAAAUUCAUGUUUCUAUUCAGAAUGUGGUUUAUAAAAAUAAGUUUGAACUUGCUUAGUGAUCUGCAGGUUUUCAUUUCUUUGCUGCAGCUGUUCCACAGAUUAACUCCUUUGACUGAUAUAAAGUGCAUUUUUGUGUUUGUACAUACAGGUUGUUUUUUAAAAAUGCAUAUUCCCUUGAGAUUAUGUUUGUUUUCUCUUAUUUGAAACAACUUUUGGAUGCCCUGUGGUAACUGAUUCUGAUUUGCUUUGUACAUGAUCUGAAUUGUUUUGAGGUCGACCAAAUCCUUGAACUUUAGUGCCUUCAGUUUGAUGAAGAGUGGGUUUUAUGGUUCUCUAUAGGUACUUUUAUAUACUAUUUUUAUAACUCUUUUUUGGAGUUUAACAUAUCAAUAUAUUUUUUGACACAUCAUUCAUUUGCAGCAGCAGAAAUAUUGGUUACUUAAAUAGAUCGGUUGUCUUUCCCCCCUCUAUUCAAGAUGGGUCCUACUCUUGUGUUUUACAUAUCAUUUGUGUGCGACCUUUCUGUGUUAAUGUUAAUAUAUGCAGCUACUAUUUGAAGAUGUUUCAGCCCAAAGACCCACAAUAAGUCUGAUGGAGCAGAGACAGUGAGGGAGCGAUCAGGUCAGGAGGUUCAGCCCUGGUGCUUCAGCUGAGUGAUCAUGUUGUUGCUGUCACUGCAGAAAGCCUCUCCCUGAACCCCAGAGACAGGAGAGCUGACCUGGAAGCAUUUAUCACCUCAGUGCUUUCUGACCUAUAACCUCCAGGUCUUAGAUAGGGGAGAGAUGUGCUAGAGGGGAAAAUAGAGAAAAUAGAAGUUUCAACACAAUGGAGGAGAAUUUCUGUAUUAUCUGUGGGAAAUUACUCCGGUUGUUUUCUUUCUGUUUCCCAAAUUUCUACUUGUAGGUUUAUGAAACUGUUGGGAACCUCUGCGGGCUUUUUGGAUGUGCAUUAGUAAAAACAUUUCUCUUGGUCUGAAGAUAAAAACUUUUCCAUUUUGUUUGUGUGGUCCUGAUUUUAUUGAGCUGAAAACCAUCAGUGAAGACUUGAAAGGGCAGGAAAAAAAAGUUGGUAGAGAUGGAUGUUUGCUGGCCCAGAGCCCAAUAGAACUAUUAACACCUCUGUGUAACGCUGAUACACCAAAGGCGUUCUUGGCUGAGGCCUUUUCAUCCAGGCUUUGACCUGGUAUCUAAAGCUGUGUGUGAGUGUCAGCGUGUGCAAGUGGAUGAGUGAAAUCUGAGCGGCCAUUUACUAGAGUCACAUCUCCUCUGAAUAUUUAUAGAACUGCUUAAGACGUGACCUUUUCUUUGGCACAGUUACACAGAAACACUUGAAGCAUAUCCAUUUUAAGACGGUCUGACACUUGAACUGAUGAUUUUAAGGUUUAUUCAAAAUCCCUCCAAAAUACAACAUAACAGCUGGUUACAAAACUCACUUUGUGCCUCUUCAGGGAGCGCUAAGACAAGAACAUGUUUACCUCUUUAGCUUUUAUUGUGUUACUUCUGUUCACCAACAUAAACUGAACUUUUUCUUAUGAUUGUUUUAAAAACAAAACCCUUAAAAAAUUAGACUCAGUCCAAAAAGUUGGAGAAUAGACCUGAGUUAAUUCAUUGGGCAAAAAAGCAUUAUAAGUACCAGGUGUUUUAUUACAUGUCCACUAGAAGUACUUCCUUAUUAAGUGGGUUAUUUACAAAACACAGGCCUCCAUCAAUCUAUGUAUCUGCCUGUCUUUCUUCAAGAUAUCUAUCUUCAGAUCUACAUCUAUGAGUCUACAAUUCAUCUAUCCAUCCUUGCAUUCAUCUGCUGUUUAAAUCCAUAGAUCUGCCUAUUUAUCCUCCCAUUCAUCCAUGUAGCAUCUAUGUAUCCAAGUAUCUAUCUAUCUGUCCAUAUCUAACGUCAAAGACGGCCCAAGGCAUAAGCGAACUAAGCGCCUGCUCAGGGCCCUGAGGCCAGUAGGGGGCCCCCAAGAGCAAUCCAAAAAAAAAAAAGUAAUUUUUUAAAAAUUUUUGCAUGUUUGAGAGAUGCUUUCUGUAUGAUCAAAUAUAUAUGAUAUGUCAAAGCUAUGCUACCAUUACGUGCCUCCUGCUGUGCAAAUGUGCAAUGGGCAUCCAAAGCGCAGGGAGUUGUGGGGCAAAACAAUGUCGCAAAAAGGGACGUAUCCUUCAGGAGCAGAGAAAAGAAAGAGGAAAAAAAUGCCAAGAUAAAGGUAUGUUUGCAUGUCAUUGAAUAUUAAUCAAAGAGAUUUGUGAAGGUGUGUGAAUGAUCAACAAUCAAUAUUAUUGGCAGAAAUAGUGCGCCCCAAAAUCAAAUUUUGCUUAGGGCCCCAUUGAGGCUUGGGUUGGCUCUGUCAAACAAACAUAUACAUAGUUAAAAUUAUAAAUACAAUUAAAGACACAGCUGUGAACACCUAACAACUACAAUUGUCUUUUUUUUUUUUUUUACAGUGUCUAGAAAUUGAAAUACACAGGGGUAGAUUGUGAGUCGAAACCCUCCCUUGCUCACCCCUCUUGUCCCCUCUUACCAAGUCCUAUCUGCCAAUCCCUACACCUUUAAAAUAAUGCACUCACUAAUGUAUCUAAGUUUCUGUUAUUACAGUAAACAUUGUUGUGCUGCCUGAAACACUCAGACAGGUGAUCAGUCUGGAGCUGACUGUCCUCUUUCAAGAUUGUAUGAGCGAAGCUGAUGAGUAGAGCAGAGGCCAGAGUGAGGGUUUGGUGGGUUUGAUGCCCAGUUGGCUGCAGAUGGCUGGCAGCCUCAAGUUUCUACAGAGGCAUCAAAGCCUAUCAAAGUAUGUAUGUGUGUGUGUGUGUGUGUGUGCGUGCGUGCGUGCGUGCGUGCGUGCGUGCGUGCGUGCGUGCGUGCGUGCGUGCGUGCGUGCGUGCGUGUGUGUUAUGUGUGUUGGGAAAGACUGUAAAUGACAUCAUACUAUAACAAGAUGUUUGUUCCUUGCUUUAACAUUGCAUGUCUUGUUCAGUGAAGAACUUUCCCACUGUGUGAUAGCCAAGGGUGGAUGUUUUCGUUUUACAGCCCUCACUACUGUGAAGAUUCCUGCACUAAUUCAGUUUAUGGUGACGUUUUCUUCUGAAGUGCAAACAACUGCAGAGCUAUAAACUGAGGAAUUUUUUGUUGCCUUGUGCACACAAGUUAGAAACCAGCUCAAAUUAAAGAAAUGGUACAAUUUAUUCGGGCAGGACAGUGGAGGACCAUGAGUAAACGCUCGCUGAUUUAUCUUUCAGUGCGUUUGAACUUAAAUCAUUAAGUGUCAUCUCAUCAAUUUAUAUAUUUAUAUAUUUUUUGGAAUUUAUUUAUUAGGUUUUUUACAAUUGAAAAUGUUACAGCAUAUAUACAGAAAUGCAAGAACAAACAUAUUUUUUUGUUUUUCCCUCUUCAACCCCCCAGCCCAGGGGACAAGCAAAAUAAAUUAAAAAAUAAAUUAAUUAAUAUUAAAUCAAAUGCAAAAUUAAAUAAAAUAAAUACAUUUAAAAAAAAGUAAAAAUAAAAAAAUAUGCGGUGAGUAUUUUCAGUAAAAAUAAUUCAAUUUUUACUCACAAAAAAAAAAAAAAAAAAAUGUACCCGCUCACUUGACUAUGUACCCAAUAGAGAAUACUGUGAAUGUAUUUGUUAUGACACUGAAUGAUAACCUGGUUUGUUUGUGUGUGUUUUGAGUGUUUGUCGACACAUAGUCGAUAUCAUUUCUGGCAAUGACUUUUGCAAGCAGCUGUGCAACAUUUCUACAUGCAUAAGUAUCUGUUCUGCAUGUCAGCUGCUGAAAGUGGAGAAAGGCACGGAGGAUGGAUGUAAAUACAUAAAGGCGUCUGUGAGUGUGUGCCGGGACUAGGACCCGAUGAUGACAGCGACUUAUGGAACUGAAACUGAGGAGGGAUGUGAAGAAAAAUGGCUGACAUGCUGUGCAAGUCGCGGAUACUUGACACCAACAGGUCCGUACAGCAACCUUCACUUAAAUUUAUCUCUACACCCAGAUGUGUUGAGGGAUUCAAGGAGGGACACCCUGCAUGUAACCUAAUGUGGCAGGAAUACAUUAUUUAAAUAAGUUUAUAUAGCAAGCUUUUUCAAACAUAUUUUCAACUUUUAUUCAUCAGAACCAAGAUUUUGGCACCAGGUUUGCAUUUGUAAAAGUCUGACUGCGUAAAUAAAGGUGUGUAUGUGUGUAUUUCUGUGUGACAAGAGACACCUGAGACGGUUAGAAGGUCAUUCCAGGAGUCUGGUCGUGUAGCUUUGAUCAUUUUCUCGUCGCCUCAGAAAUAGACCACAGAGGAUGGGUUGGGCACAACGUUCCCCUCUCUUUGAGUGUGUGUCUGAGUGAGGGAGAGACCUAGGCAGAGUGCUGGCAAAGCAAACUGACAGGGAAUCCACUAUUGUUUGAAGUGCACAAGCCUGUGUUUGCAUGACUGCACCGCUGCAAUGGCAUCGGUACCAUUGUUUGCCACUGCUGGCAUUAGCUGUGUGAACGUGGUCAUACACAUGUAUGCAAAUGCAUGGGUGAGACAGUGUGGAUGUGUGCAGUCACGCAGCAUUUCAACCAUGAUCAUAUCUUUGAAGCCGGGUGAGCAGAUAUCCUCAUCGAGUCUAAGAAAGCAAAGAUCAGAAUGACAAAAAUAUUUACAACUCUUUCUUUAGUUACAUUAUGCAAACAUCAUGUUUGUCCUGGGGUGUGUAAUAAUAUCAUGGCCCUGCAGGUAAUCUAAUUUUGAGUUAAUCAGACUAUAAAUGACAACUUUGUUUGCUUCAUAGAGCACAGAUGCAACAUAUAUAUAUUGAUCAAUUUUGUGGCUUUUUAAUGGGGUGCAGCAUGAGAACAGAUUUACAAGCUGCAGGAGUAGAUAUUAAGGAAAGAGAUCCCUUGUUCUGUGUUUAGUCUACUGAAUUCAAACUUCAGCAGACCUUGUAGGGCAAGGAUUCAGUGCACAGUUGAAGAAGGUCUGAAAGUGUAAACUUAAUAAGCCCAUAAAGCUGCACAACAUGACUGAUGGGAAGUGACUCACAAUGCACAGCACUAAGCGAGAGGAAACCACCCAGCACGCCAGGCUCGGUUUUGAAGAAAAAAAGGGUCUCUAUUUCCGACAAGAAGUAGUUCUUUCAGACAAACAAGUUUUCUGAUGACAUAAGCUCUUUCGCAACUGAAGGAAAACACUGACAAGUUAAAUAACAUGCAGUUAAACACCGUAUGUUUCAAAGAUAGUAUCAUUGAUCAUUAAAUCAAAUAUCUACCAAACUUAACAUUUGAUGCCAUACGAAGAACUGGUAAACCUCCAAAUGAAAACAGUGAUAUAGUAAAAUCAUAAAAGCUCAAAGUCCAAUCUUGGGCCAUAGUUCAAUCAAUCAAUCAAUCAACUUUAUUUCUAUAGCACAUUAAAAAAAACUAUGAGGGUAGCCAAAAUGCUGUACAUUGUGACAUAAAAACAAAUAAAACAAGCUUGCUGUUUUUUACACGUUACGAGUUUGCUGAUAUUUUACAGUAAGAGAAUAUUGCAUCACUUUUUUUUUGCUUAAAAUAGUUCCCUUAUGACCACGCAUGUAUCAUUUUUUAUUCCGCUCCAGGCAUGUCCAGGCAAUGUACUAACCGCAAACAUAAAUGAUCACUUUUUACAGAUAAAAUUGGAACGCCUUCUCUUCCAGUUACCUACUCUACCAACUUUCCUGACUUCCAGUAUCAGUUCUUUUUCAUUAGAAAAACAAAUCCGCAGAGCAAGAUCAGCGAAGAGAUUGGAGGUGCUGCUUUGUCUACAGUGGGAACCAAAAUCAACAUAAACCACAAGUUCCUCACAGACACUUUGAAGCUGUUUCUAAUAUUUUUCUGCAAAGUGAUAAAACAACAGAUUUUAUCUUAGCUUUGCCAUAGUUUAACUCCUUUCAGUGUGAAUAACUUUGACUUCACUGCAGUGGAAAUGAGGAAACGGCAAUGGUGCACAUGAGAACACACUCACAUUAGACAAAUGCCUUUGCUGGUUUUUCGACAAAGGCCCUCAACCAAACAUAGUUUUAUCAAAGCUAAUGUUCACUUCAUGGUCUUCUCAGAGAGGUAAAUGCUUGUUUGAAUAAAUGUCCAGAAGAAAAGGAAAAGGAGGAUCCAUCUCUGAGUCCGUCUUUGCACAAGGACCUUCCAAGGUUGCAUUUUAAACCACACAAAGUCCCACAAGCUCCAUCAAUCCCUCAUAAAGGUAUUGCAGCAUUUAUUCCCCUUCAAAACAAAGCAGCACAGAGCACCAGUGGGGAUGCAAAGGCAUACUUGGCCUGCUUCCAACUGCCCUCCCAACUGCUCCAGAGAGACAAAUCUCUGGAAGCAGAAUAGAGGUUGUUAAAGGACGUCACCAUGGGACGUGGUCGGACUCACCUUCCUGUUUCACAAUUCACAAACAGCUGAGAAAGAUGUACAAUCAGAGACAAAUGCACCCAAACAUGCAGGCGAUCACUCAAGGGCUGGAGGAAAGAAAGCCCUGAACAUUGAGCAGAGUUCACACAAUCACAAGGGAGGGGGCUUAAAUCAAAAGCAUAUAACAUGCAAACGGAGCAGGGGAAACGGGAAGCCCUGAGGAUGGGGAGGAAGAUUGUGACUGAAAGAGAGAAUUUUUAUAAUGAGAGAGUGGGGAAUAUCUACAAAUUGUAUCUUGUAUGAAUCAGAAUUUUAUGUUUCCCCCUUUAGAAAUAACCGUCCACAUCUGUGAGGACGAACAUGUCUCUUUCUCAAAAAAGAGCUCCACUCCACUGUUUUGAUUCUUUUCAAAGGUCACAGAAGAUUAGGGAAAUAGAAAAUAUGAGCUGCAUACUUUCACUUCUGCUCUCUGUUUGAUUUCCACCAAAUCAAACACUGAAUGACUCUGAGACCCAUGCUCACUAUCUACACUAUGUUGAUAAACGACCCUGUUUAGUGGGGGAUUUUCUUUACUGAUGUACUUAUGAUUGGUCUUGUCCUGGACGUACAUGGAG
Molecule: non-coding RNA, 9633 nt
Organism: Xyrichtys novacula (pearly razorfish)
Lineage: Eukaryota; Metazoa; Chordata; Actinopteri; Labriformes; Labridae
Source: the annotation of a GenBank genome assembly